Lagopus muta (rock ptarmigan) is the source of this 10714-nucleotide RNA transcript. It is a transcript of the gene named toll-like receptor 2 type-1, with no coding region annotated. The record is from RefSeq and is a predicted model, not a curated record. Lineage: Eukaryota; Metazoa; Chordata; Aves; Galliformes; Phasianidae. The transcript is spliced from 8 exons.
AGCCUCAGGGACUUCCUCUCUGUCCUGCUGCCUCAGCAUUUUCUUCCAGACCCUAUGGGAGGGUGUUGCCUGCCCUUGUUGAGGCCCCCCCUCCAUGCUCUUGCUCCUUGUUUCUCAGUCUCCCAGAAGAACAGCAGCACAAGAGCUGUUUAGAGCACGGAUACUGCCAUGCAGGUGGAAAGGGAGAAAGAGGGGGACUGGCUGCAGGGUCAUCUCAGAUAUGAGAUGACUACAUGAACCAUACAAGAUUGGUAUAUGAAGAAAGAGAAGGUCGAUGCUCAGUACACCAGGCCAAAAUGUUCAACCAAAGUAAACAGAAACCAGCAACUAAGCUGAUGUGGCAAGUGUGGGUGAUCUACAUAGCUUUGGCUGCACUCCUCCCUGAAGAACAAGCCCUGGGACAGGCCUGUCUUUCUUGCGAUGCCACUCAGUCUUGCAACUGCUCUUCCAUGGGUUUGGACUUCAUUCCCUCGGGGCUCACGGGCAAAAUCACGGCGUUAAACCUGGCCCACAACAGGAUAAAGCUGAUCCGGGCACAUGAUCUGCAGCAGGCUGUGAACCUGAGAGCCCUGCUGCUGCAGUCCAACCAAAUCAGCUCCAUAGACGAGGACUCGUUUGCCUCCCAGGGGAAACUGGAGCUGUUGGACUUGUCAAAUAACAGCCUGGCUCACUUGUCCCCGGUGUGGUUUGGGCCCCUUUUCUCGCUCCAGCACCUCCGCAUUCAAGGCAAUUCCUACGGCGACCUGGGAGAAAGUUCCCCCUUUUCCAGCCUGAGAAACUUGAACUCCCUCCACCUGGGCAACCCACACUUCUCCAUCAUCAGGCAAGGAAACUUUGAGGGCAUUCCGUUUCUCAACACGCUGAAGAUUGACGGUGGCAAUCUCAGUCAGUACGAACCUGGAAGUCUGAAAUCGAUUAGGAAGAUAAAUCACAUGAUCAUAAGCGUGCGAAGGAUUGAUGUAUUCUCAGCAGUCAUCAGGGACCUUCUGCACUCUGCCAUUUGGUUAGAAGUUAGAGAGAUCAAAUUAGAUAUUGAAAAUGAAAAACUGAUUCAGAACUCUACUCUUCCUUUGACUAUACAAAAACUCACAUUUACUGGUGCUUCAUUCACAGAUCAAUACAUUAGCCGAAUAGCAGUGUUAUUGAAGGAAAUCACAUCUUUGAGAGAGUUAGAAGCAAUAGAUUGUGUGCUUGAGGGGAAAGGAGAAUGGGAUACAAAAGAAAUUGCAAGUAGUGGGCAAAGUUCUGUUGAAACAGUAUCAGUAACAAAUAUGACUAUUCUGGAUUUUUAUUUGUUCUUUGAUCUGGAAGGUAUAGAGACACAAGUAGAUAAGCUGAAAAGACUCAGCAUUGCAAGUUCUAAAGUAUUCAUGGUGCCAUGCAGACUGGCAAGAUAUUUUUCAUCACUUUUGUAUCUUGAUUUCCAUGAUAAUUUGCUUGUAAAUAAUCGCUUAGUUGAGACAAUCUGUAAAGGUUCAUGGCCUUCAUUACAAACUCUAAAUCUAAGUAAAAAUUCUCUGAAAUCACUAGAACAGGCUGCAAAACAUAUAAGUAAUCUACACAAACUGAUUAAUCUUGAUAUUAGCGAAAACAAUUUUGGUGAGAUUCCAGAUGUGUGUGAAUGGCCUGCAAACCUGAAAUACCUGAAUCUCUCCAGCACUCAAAUUCCCAAAUUAACACGUUGCAUUCCCACAACUCUUGAAGUGCUGGACGUUAGUGCUAACAACCUGCAGGAUUUUGGUCUGCAACUGCCAAAUCUGAAGGAGCUGUACCUGACAGAAAACCAUCUGAAGACCUUGCCCGAAGCUGCAGGCAUUCCUAACUUAGUGGCCAUGUCGAUCAGCAGAAACAAGCUCAACAGCUUCUCCAAGGAAGAGUUUGAGUCCUUCAAGCAAAUGGAGCUGCUGGAUGCCAGCGCCAACAACUUCAUUUGCUCGUGCGAAUUCCUCUCCUUCCUUCAGCGUGAGGCAGGGAUAACCCAGGCGCUUGUGGGGUGGCCAGAAAGCUACAUCUGCGACUCUCCGCUGGCGGUGCGAGGGGCACAGGUUGGGAGCGUGAGGCUGUCGCUGAUGGAGUGCCACCGGUCCUUCCUGGUGUCUUUGAUCUGCAUUCUGACGUUCCUGUUCAUCCUGAUCCUGGUGGUCAUUGGGUACAAGUACCAUGCGGUCUGGUACAUGAGAAUGACCUGGGCAUGGCUCCAAGCCAAGCGGAAGCCCAAGCGAGCCCCCGCGAAAGACGUCUGCUACGACGCCUUUGUCUCCUACAGUGAGAACGACUCCAACUGGGUGGAAAACAUCAUGGUGCAGCAGCUGGAGCAGGCGUGUCCACCCUUUAGGCUGUGCCUCCAUAAGCGGGACUUUGUGCCCGGGAAGUGGAUUGUGGACAACAUCAUCGACUCCAUUGAGAAGAGCCACAAGACCCUCUUUGUGCUGUCGGAGCACUUUGUGCAGAGCGAGUGGUGCAAGUACGAGCUGGAUUUCUCGCACUUUCGCCUCUUUGACGAGAACAACGACGCGGCGAUCCUCCUCCUGCUGGAGCCCAUUCAGAGCCAGGCGAUCCCCAAGAGGUUCUGCAAGCUGCGCAAGAUAAUGAACACCAAGACCUACCUGGAGUGGCCUCCUGAUGAAGAGCAACAGCAGAUGUUUUGGGAGAACUUGAAAGCAGCUCUCAAAGCCUAGAUAGGAUCAUUAAAAACUGAGUCCCUAGCCAUCCUCUUCUGGAUUUAUUUCCAUUGCCUUUUUGUGCCUUUAUCUAGCUGUAUCUAACAGAGGUCUGAGCUACUGUAAUUGCUGUUACUUGCUUUGAAAUUGUACUAUUCUUGUCUCUGUGAUCAUGACAUUUCUAAGCAUUUUAAUCAGCAGUCUUACCUAAAGCAGUUUUGUUUAAAGAUUUGCUGUUGAAAAGUUUUUUAGAUACACAACUGUCUAUUUUAUAUAGCUUUAUCUUUGCAAAAGCUUUACAUGAGAGCCUGCUUAGCCUAGGUUUAACCACUUCAAUUGCAUCCUAAUGUAAGACAGUUUAUGCAGCAAGGAUUUUCCUCCUAGCUCCAUACUGAGUAGAUCUAAGGACUGAUUCUCAAUAGUAUUUCAUGAUCGUGGUAAGUUAAAUGUCAAAAUCUUCUAAAAAUCAUAGCUGCAAACUUUAAUCUACAUACGUGCUUUCACACUGUGAUGCUUGUUCUUUCUUAGUGAAGAGAUGCUUCAGAGGAGGAUCCAUACACUUUUUUGACUUGCUUAAGUGUAGUUGUUGAAGUGCUCACCUGAAGUGUGUCAACACAAUACCAAUGUAGUCUUUAAUUUCAAGACCAUACUCUUCUCUCCAAUCCACCAGCCCAAAGUGGGUGUUCCUCACCUUUUUUCUCUGCAACUUAGUCCGCAAAACCAGAGCAGCUGAAGACUUUCCCACCUCAAGCACUGUUGGAUGGGCUCAUGUUAUCUUAGGAAGAUGGCUGGGACAAGGAUUGUAACUGCUGAAGAAGUGGAGUAAACAGAGACACCACCACCAAGCUCUUCCUUCAGAUGUCAUCCGAAAAUGAAGGGGAGUCUCAGGUGGCGCCUGUCCUGGAGAUGCAGAGAGUUUCAGCCGACCCUUAACAGCUUGAAUCUGGUCAGCCUAAUAACUAACUGUCUACUUGAUCAGGUCAGUGUUUAGGCAUAAUGUUCUUGGGACUGACAUUUGCAGGUAUGCACAGAAGCAAAUCUUGAAAGGCUUCCCAUGGAAAUGUUUACAGUACUUAUUACUUUAUCUGGGGUUAGAUGAUAGAAUCAUGAACAGCUUGAGUUGGAAGGGAGCUUAAGGACCACUUAGUUCCAAAGCUCUGCCAUAGUGAGGAAUACCUUCCAGUAGGAAAGGCUGCUCACAGUCCUAUCCAACCUGGCAUCCACAGCUUCUCUGGGCAGCCUGUGCCAAUGCCUUGCUGUUCUCUGAGUAAAGAAUUCCUUCCUAACACUUAAUCUAAUUCUACCCUAACUUGAAAGCAGCCUUGAAAUCGUAGGACAAGUUAGUUGUUCCUGUUUCAGUAUAUUUCCAGAGUGUAUGUUCAUGUAUAUUUACAGAUAUAUGAGAUUAUGUAUAUAUGCUCUUGUAUAUGUAUGUUGCAUAUAUAUAUUCUAUAUUUUUAUUAUGAGUUUCACUUUUUUAGUGAGUCUUGUGGCAACCUGAAUUUGUCUGAAGGGUAAAGUUAUAUGUGACUUUGUCUAAGUUUGUGUUGUUGGAGCAUGAGCACAGAGGAAUGUAUGUGAAUGUUUCAGUGUAUUUCCAACAAUGGUCAAUGCUUUUUCUUUCUAAGACGUUUAACUUUGUAUGCCUAAUGAGAACUGGCUUUCCUGUGGAUAGAUAAAUGUAUUACGUUACUAAAUGAAAAAGAGCAACAUCAGGCUUUUUUUUUUUUUUUUUAAUUUGAUGUUCUUGUCUUCCAAAAUCCUUGUCAGUAGCAGUUAUAUUUGGGAGUCAUGCUGGACUUUGGAUACUUUUCUAAAUAAAUUUGCUGGUCUUCUUAGUGCUUUUCUAUACUCUUUCCUGCUGUCGUCAUAUCACUGAUUAAUUCCUAACAAUUCCAUUGUAAUUGUGAAUCAAUAAUAAAAGCCAAAGGCUUCAAUACUUCCACGUCAGUUCUUCUCCUUUCAUUUUCUUUUUCUGUGCCAUUUAACAUAGAAGGCAAUUAAAAUUACCUUAUGUACAAAAAGUGAGAUUUUACAUUGAAAUAUGCCUCUGAAGCCUUACCAGUGUUGUGCAACACAGAACAGGUCUGGAUAAUCAGGUUCUGUCACAAGUCUGGAUAAUUAUUCUGGAGUCCGUACCCCCACGUACAGAGUGGGCUUUGCACGAUACUUAUAAGGAAGCAUCCUGGCACCUUGGACAAUGACUGUGGUGAAAUCCAGGGGUAUUAAAUCAAUGUUUGUUUUACUUUCUCGGGCUUCUUUCUCCCUGUAAAGGCUUGCUUCUCCCUUUGUGGCUACUGUGCUUUCUUCUGCCUGAGAAGAGAAGUAGCUGACUGUGGGCCAUAAGCAGGCGUUUCUAAUGAGUGGGCUAGAUGGCGUUGCAGGCAAUUGGUUUGUGAUGGAAUGUCAAAGUAUGGGUGUAUGGGCUGAGUGUAUUUGGAAAAUAAGGAAAUCUGCUUGUACACGUGUGUCUCUGUGGGCGUAUUUGUAUGUACUCACAUAUACUUGUGUGUGUAUACUUACGUACCCAUGCUUCUGUGUGUAUGUUAUUCAUACGUGUAUGAAUAUGCACACACACGAGAUUACAUUUUCUGAGGGUGUAGCAUGGUGCAUACCCUGCUUUCAGUUCUAGUUUCCUGGUGUAAUGACUUCUGUAGGGUUGGUCCAAAGUCUGCUUUUUUCAGUUCACUCUGUUGGAUCAAAAUAGCACAAGGGCCAGUCAGAUCUGAACUUUUGGCAAGUGACUAGUGAAUCAUGUGGUAGCAAACACUGAGCAUAGAUAAAAGUGACUGGGAGGCUGAGUGCCUAGAGAUAAGGAGGGAAAUAGGUGGAAUUGACUUUGUGAUGUGCUCUUACCACAAGCCCACAUUUCAUGGACUCACUCAUUUAAAGAAGAUGAACAACAUUACUGAUUUUGUGUCAAUCAGAUUCUCCACAUAGGAAUUAUCCCACAUACAUAGCUGAAUCUGAAAACUGAAGUGGUAAGGAAACAGCCACAUGAGAGGAAGCUGGGUGAAGAGCAGUCAUCAAGAGAGAGAAGAAACAUAAAGCAGGAUAAGCAGCAUGCAAGCACUCGAGAUGGAGCACCAGGGAAUGGUUUCUGCACAGAGCACUGUGUUAUCCAGCCAGCUUCACAUAAUCAAAGAAGCCCCAUAAAAAAGCCUCAUCUGGACAGCAGGUACAUUCAGUGAAAGGAGAGGAUGAGAUCAUAAACAUGAGAGGGAAGUAGUUCCAGCUCUCCUGCUGUAUCUACUGGUUGAGACAUUUUUUUCAGGCUUGAUUUAAAGAUGCAUCUGCUAUGUCUUUGUUGUUUAACUCUGAAUGCCCCCAGAAGCAAGCAAAAUACAAGAAGAGGAAGCUUCUUCAGGUGCAGACCUAAGUACAUGCAAACUUCGGUCACUCAAGGUCCUGCAGGGAUGCCGCCCACUCCCCUCCAUCAGGACACUCACAGAGUCCACAAAAGGCCGUGAACAGAACCGAAACAUUAACUCGUUAAUUCCCAGCGGUCCACGUGAUGUUCUGAUGUGGAAUAGUGACAACGAAAAAUCGCUAAACCACAAUACACCGUUCUGAUUGCUGUGGUCUGGUGAUGAGGACAUAAAACUUGGAGUAGAAAGACACGCUUCUUUUCAUGACUGCAGAGGAACCUGCUGGGUGGCUUCUGGGCGAGUUACUUUACCUCACUGUGCCUCAUUUUCCUGAUCUACAAAACAGGGACAUUAGUGUCUGUUUUUUGAAGGCAGUCUGAGAAACUUAAAUGGAAACUUCUGUAUAAAUGUCAAGUAUGAUUAUUGUUCUUAAACUAAUCCAUUGUAGUCGACUGCUUUCAUAGUUUUUAUGAAAGCAAAUACAAUGGAGCUACACAGUUGGCUGCCUAACAAUGUUUUUUUUUUAAUUAGAGGAAGACAAAAAGUGUCUAAAAAAUGCAACAGCAAGUUGUGUUUUUUCAUUAGUUGGAAACAAAUUCCUGCCAUAACUGAAUCAUGCUGUACCAGGUAAUGAAUUUAUUCCACACUAAAUGCAAAACACUGAUCAGGAGUAGCAAGUCCUGAUCACUUUUUACAUGUUGGUUUCACUCUUUGCAUGACACAAAGAUUUUCAGUUGUUUAGUGAAUAAGACUAAGGAUAAAAAUGUGAAAAAUGUGUGUGUUUACUUCUUUACCAGCAUCUGCCAAAUGAAGUUUCCUCAGGCUGUGACUCUGAAAUUCUGAUUUUUGGUUGAAGAGUUUUCAAUGUCUGGCUUAUACACCUUUGGAAAUGGGUUGUAUAACAUCAACCCUGAUGUUCUCUUUCCUCAGUGUGGAGAAUGGUACCCAUCUUUUUCCACAAUGCUGUUAGAACAGCUCAACUCAGAAAGUGUGACUCCUAUUACUCUUCAUGUUUGCCCAAGCCCUGUAUAUGUGAAAGGUAAUUCCACCUCUACCAGCUCACUCUGAGGCUGGAUGGUCCCAGUGAGUCCAUCCACGGACAUAUGCAGAAGGCUUUAUCAGUAAGGACAGAAUGCUGCUAAUCCUGGACACCAGUUACACGACCGGAUUCAAAUGUUGGCAGAUCUGGCUUAUUCUUGUUCUCCUCCAUGGUUUUGCUGGUGUAACAGUGUUUAUUUUGUGGUGGAAGGAGAUUUUUUUUUUUUUUUUUUUAAAGACAGAGUGAUGUCAUGGUUUCUUUUCGUACAUCCACGCCACUGAAGUAAAGAUCUCUUGUGUAGUCUUGCCCUCGGUAUGACCCCAGAGUGAAUAACUUGUGACCUGUCUGUCUUCAUCAGCAUCACUACUGCUACCUUCUAGGAUAGCCCAAUUAAGAUAAUUUUAUGGUUGCUCUCUUAGAAGAGGACUUAGUGUCGGUUAGGCAGGCUGUGUGGAGCAGUCCUUGUUGUUGGUUUUGGUCCCCAGAGCCUGCAUUGCAACUGCUGCCUCUUCAAAGCACUUUCCUUCACCAAGCAGCACAAUCCCAUUUUUCUGCAGGCUUGUCUCCACCCGCCGGCCCUUUUUCUGUGAGCUAGUUCCUUCUAAUAUAUCCAAGACCCAUUUAGUGACAGGUGUUAGGUGAUGUGCUGAGGGAGAUGGGUAGAGUUAUGUGACAUCUGGAUGAUGAUGGACACGGUACUGAUAUGAAAGUAAUUACUCCCAAGUGUGAGAAGAUUCAAAUCUGUUCUGGGAAGCUAUGUCCAUUCAGAAGAAAAUUUUUAAAGCAAAGUAUUGGACUUUAAAUUGAUACUGUUUCACAAAAUGUGAAAAACCAGUUUGGAAUUUUUUUCUUUUUUUUCUUUUCUUUUUUUUUUAAUUGUUAUUGCUAUAUUUCUGAGGAUGCUUAUGAGGACUGAUCUUGUCUUACUUGCUCAAAGUCCUACCAUUGUUUGUAUGGGAUAUAGUAAACGCAUGAAGAUUCGGGAAGAGGGCAGAUAAGAAUUUUUCUGAAACAAACUAAAUUUUGAUUUUUUCUUUCAAUCCUGAUAGUGAAAAAUCACACCAAAUACAUGAAAUGAUUAUGAUUAUUUACUUCUAAAAAAAAUCUGGGGUUGGAUUUGCAUUCUCUCAGUGAAUGGCUAACAUAUAGCAUUGUCCUUGUAAGUACUGGGUUUGUCAUCCUCUUAAUGAGGGUGAAAGGAACUUUAUAUGCAUGGCAGCAGUGGCAGGUAAGAUUAUUUUUCACAGAACCACAUAGUCCACUUUGGUUGGAAGUGACAUUAAAGAUCCUCUAGUUCUAGCUCCCUGCCAUGGGUAUCUUUCUCUAGAAGAUGCUCAGAGGCCCAUCCAGGAUAAGUAUAAUAAAACUCUAGCAGGUAAUGCUCUUCCAUAGGAAAUAUUUGCAGGAACAAUGCUGAAAGACAUUGCUCUAGUUACACUAUUAGGGUAGUGCAAACGGUUUAUUUUCUAAAUAGGAAUACUGAAAGUGCACACAAAACAUACUUUAUUCUACCAUUUAAAUUAUUCUGAACUGUUAGUAACAAAUCAGGUUUUUGUCUACUCUUGGACAAGUGUAAGAAAUGGAUAAAUGGGUAUGAUUUUUAAGCAAGUGAUUUCAUUGCUAUUCCACAUCAGCAGAGUCUUCUGAGAUGGGAUGAAACUGUAGGCAGUCAAAGAAACCACAGAGAAGUUUUCAUCUUGAAGAGCUCAACAGAAAUCUAUUAAAAUGAGGUAAGUGUACCCCAACCUUCACGUUACAUGGGUUGGUCUUUGGGGAAAUGAGGUACUGCGUGGUUUUCUUAAUUGCAGCCAGCAUCAGCAGUUUCACUGUUGGUGACUGUUGGUCAUUUGGGGUAGAAGGGUGAAUCUUGUUUUGCCAUGACAAGGCGCAGUUGGACACCUUUUUCCCAAAACAGAUUAAAGUGAAUUUGUCCAAGAACAAAUCAAGACAAUAGGAAAACUAUGAUGUAAAGUUUAUAUACAAGAAUAUAACAUUUAUCUGGAGUAUUUACAAGGUUAAUUAAAGCAAUAUUUUACAACUCUCUCAGGUUAACCACUAGGUAUGUUACAGUUAGGCUACAGAUGGUUUAAUUUGCAAAAUAAGAAGAAAAACGUUGCAUUCAGAUAAAUCAGUUCCAAAACCUUUAUGUUUUUUGGUUUUUUUUCUCCUAAGAAAAGGGCUCAGUCUUGUGGAAAACAAAACUUGAGAAUGGCUAAUAUACCCUUAUUGGUGCCUAUGUAUCACAUGCAAGAGUUGUAACAUGACCUUUAUAAAUUUAAUAUAGAUGGCAAGCCAUUUCACCUCAGUGAAAGAGUCGUACCCCUUGUGACGGGCCAGGCACACACAUCUGUCUUCCCGUCUCCUACUUUUGCACAACAAACACGCAUGUAUACAGAGAGGCAGCAAUUAAAUGAACCAGCAUUACCAAAACGAAGAGGGAAAAGCCUCAGGGAAGAGUCACAUUUGCAACCAUUUAGAACAAACAAACAAACAAAAAAAAAAAAACAACUGUUAAGUGAGAUAGUUUAAUACUUCCCCAAAAUAGUCAUGAUAUAUAUAUUUUUAUUACAUUUAACCUAUGUACAGAAACGGAGGGCUCUCCCCAUCUCGGAGAUUGGUUGCUGUGUCUCCUGGCCAGGGCAUCUCAAGGCGCAGAGAGGCUGAAGAAAGAAGGCUGGGGAGGUCUGGAGAGCUUGGGACAGAGGAGGCCGCUGGAAGCCAACACAGCCAAAGCCACUAACACUGCAGUUUGCGGAUGCUGCGGGAGAACCGCUUGAAAGCCCGCUGCCCUUUCUGCCACCGCUUCAGCGAGUUUAGAGACAAAAUGUGAUGCGGGACCAUGUCAAAGGCCUUGUACAAGUCCAGGUAGACAACAUCAGUUGCUUCAUAUGACAGCCAUGACUUUGCAGAUAUGAGGGAGAGCAGCUUGGCAACCACGUCAGCCAGUUCCUUCAGGACUCUGGGAUGCAUGUCAUCCAGCUCCAUAGACUUGUACACACUCAGCCUCAUAAGGUGGUCUCAGACUUGCUCUUCUCUUGCAGAAGGAGGUGCUCUGCUCCCCAACUCCCACCCAAAGCUUUAGGGUUGGAAGAGAACUGGGAAGCCUAAGAGAUAUUGAAGACUGAAGCAAAGAACUUGAGUACUUCAACUUUCUCCAUGUCUGCUGUAGUCAGUUCUUCUUUUUCAUUUACUGGAGACCACUAAACCACUGAAGAUUUGCUGUCCCAUGAAGGCUGCUCUUCAAAACUGAGGAGUAGCAGGAGUUCUAGAAUCUGAGAUACUUAUUUUCUUUCAAACUCCUUAAGUUUCUGGAGAAAAACUUCAGGGGACCAUCAACCCUGAACACUGAAGACCUUUUGAAAUAGCAGGGGAUCUUUCACUGACUUAGUUUCACUUCUAGCACCACUCCUUCUAUCAAAAAAUCAGAUAACUGUGUGCAGUAAUUAUCCCUUCCUCUACGUAAUAGCUGGGUGAUUUCUAACAAACUCACAAGCUGCUGUAAGUACAAUCAUGUUUCCCUGAGCUUCACUAUGGUUUUAUUGGCAAUUUGGAUUAAAAUCACAGUUCCCUCUGAACCAAGUGGGUUAUCCCAGUGUGCUAAUGCUUCAUAAAAAAAAAAAAAAAAACAAAAACAAAAAAAACAGAAA